This 97-nucleotide ribosomal RNA is filed under the name uncultured bacterium. RNAcentral describes it as "partial 16S ribosomal RNA". It matches the Rfam family "Bacterial small subunit ribosomal RNA", at positions 1386 to 1482 of the family's 1533-position model. The record is from RNAcentral.
CACACCGCCCGUCACGCCAUGGAAGCUGGGGGGACCUGAAGUCGGUGAGCUAACCGCAAGGAGGCAGCCGCCAAAGGUCAAUUCAGUGACUGGGGCG